AAGUUCAGAUGUGAAAGACCCGGGGCGUCAACCUCGGAAUUGCAUUUGAAACUAGGCAGACUAGAGUACUGUAGAGGGGGGUAGGGAAGUUUCAGGUGUAGCGGUGAAAUAGCGUAGAGAUCUGAAGGAAUACCGGUGGCGAAGGCGGCCCCCUCGGACAGAUACUGACACUCAGAUGCGAAAGCGUGGGGAGCAAACAGGAUUAGAUACCCCUGGUAG
This 219-nucleotide ribosomal RNA is filed under the name uncultured bacterium. RNAcentral's name for it is "partial 16S ribosomal RNA". It matches the Rfam family "Bacterial small subunit ribosomal RNA", at positions 585 to 793 of the family's 1533-position model. The record is from RNAcentral.